GUCGCUAGGUGACGAUUUCUGACUGGGGUGGCAGCCAAUGGGUUGUCACUGCCUAGGGGCUGAGAUCGCUGCAGGUGCCCCGGCUUAGAAACAUCUCGAAGCCCCGGGACCAUUUGGAGUCGCUGAAGGGAGGCGGGAAAUCGCCAGGCUGGAGCGCGAGGCUCCUGCGGGCAGCGAACCAGCCACAGGCUCGUGGCGGUGCCGCGGGGGUUGGACCGAACUCCCUGCCCUGGCGGGCGCGCGCAGUGUUUGUAGCCGCAGAAUCCGUUUCUGUCUGCUCUAGCAUGGAUGAGACAGGGAAGAGGAAGCUCAGACCCCAGCACAGGUUUGGGCAGCAAUGGCUCUUGGGUUAUUUGCUGUGCUUGCAGAGGACUUGUCAGGCCAAUGGAGCAGCCCAGCCAGAUGAGGAGCUGAAAGAAGAGGACUUGAGCAGCCCAGACAUCCAACUUGGCAGGAGCUGAGGAGCCCAAGAGUUCUAUCUGGUGAUGGAGGAGGAGCAGCUGUGUAUUUUGCUGAAAUGAUGUCUCUCUAUCCAGUGUCUGAGUAGCAAGGUGCCUCCCUGAGAGCAGAGAGAUUCUUCUUGUUUGCAUGGGCUGGGUCCUGGGGAGGUUGGAGCCUCGCAUUUGGCUGUUAAUGGGCUAGGAGCAUCACCCUGCUCCCCAAGACUGAAUGUGAAGGAGGAAAACCUGCCUGCAACUCGGGACACUCUGUUAUUCCUUGUCUGUCCUUCCAAGUCACUGGGUGUGAGUCACUGGACACAAUAUCGAGUACUGCCAAAGAAAACCAUCUUCUGGUCCUUCAGAGGACCUGAGCAUCCUGGCCAGGCAUGGGAUGGGAUGUGGGGAGGGAGAGACCUGCAGGACUAUAGUCCCUUACCAGAGCUGAUCACUUCAAGCACUGGCUGGGCUGGUGGGGACUAGGGAAGGGGGCUCCAGGAAGCAGAAGCCAGGUGACCUGAUUGCCCAUGUCUGUCCUCCAGACGCCAGUACUGGCCUACGUCCUCUUUUCAGUUCCUAAUGACAUUGGGCAGAUGAGAGAAUGGCCAACCUGGAGGAGAGACCAGGAGAAGGAGCAGCCACCCUGAGCCCAUUCAGCAGGAUAGAAACCAGACAGCAAGCUGUGGAGUAGGUGCAAAUGGAAAUUUGCUUAAGCUAAGUAUUGAAAGAGUGCUGCAAACGCUCUUG
RNAcentral lists this long non-coding RNA (1184 nucleotides) under Chrysemys picta bellii (western painted turtle). RNAcentral's name for it is "lncRNA (ENSCPBG00000027633.1)". The record is from RNAcentral. Lineage: Eukaryota; Metazoa; Chordata; Testudines; Emydidae.